UACGUAGGCGGAAAAUUAAGUCAGUAGUGAAAUCCUGCAGCUUAACUGUAGAACUGUUAUUGAUACUGGUUUUCUUGAAUAUAGUUGAGGUAGGCGGAAUGUGUAAUGUAGCGGUGAAAUGCUUAGAUAUUACACAGAACACCGAUUGCGAAGGCAGCUUACUAAGCUAUGAUUGACGCUGAGGGACGAAAGCGUGGGGAGCGAACAGGAUUAGAUACCCUGGUAGUCC
RNAcentral lists this ribosomal RNA (229 nucleotides) under uncultured bacterium. Its description in RNAcentral is "partial 16S ribosomal RNA". It matches the Rfam family "Bacterial small subunit ribosomal RNA", at positions 568 to 796 of the family's 1533-position model. The record is from RNAcentral.